UACGUAGGGGGCAAGCGUUACUCGGAUUUACUGGGCGUAAAGGGCGUGUAGGCGGUCUUUCAAGUCCGAUGCUAAAGUCUGGGGCUCAACCCCAGGACUGCGUUGGAUACUGUGAGGCUAGACGGUCGGAGGGGGUAGCGGAAUUUCCGGAGUAGCGGUGAAAUGCGCAGAUACCGGAAGGAACGCCAAUAGCGAAGGCAGCUACCUGGACGACUUGUGACGCUGAGGCGCGAAAGCGUGGGGAGCAAACCGG
Molecule: ribosomal RNA, 253 nt
Filed under: uncultured bacterium
Lineage: Bacteria
Description: partial 16S ribosomal RNA
Rfam family: Bacterial small subunit ribosomal RNA
Source: RNAcentral